AGGAGUGUAGCUCAGUUGGUAGAGCAUCGGUCUCCAAAACCGAGGGCCGGGGGUUCGAGCCCCUCCACUCCUG
This 73-nucleotide transfer RNA is filed under the name Sandarakinorhabdus fusca. RNAcentral describes it as "Polymorphobacter fuscus tRNA". It matches the Rfam family "tRNA". Rfam says of the family: Transfer RNA (tRNA) molecules are approximately 80 nucleotides in length. Their secondary structure includes four short double-helical elements and three loops (D, anti-codon, and T loops). Lineage: Bacteria; Pseudomonadati; Pseudomonadota; Alphaproteobacteria; Sphingomonadales; Sphingosinicellaceae. RNAcentral also lists the same sequence under 3 other names. The record is from Rfam by way of RNAcentral.